CAUGGCUCAGGACGAACGCUGGCGGCGUGCUUAACACAUGCAAGUCGAACGGUAAGGCCCUUCGGGGUACACGAGUGGCGAACGGGUGAGUAACACGUGGGUGAUCUGCCCUGCACUCUGGGAUAAGCCUGGGAAACUGGGUCUAAUACCGGAUAGGAGCUCCUGUCGCAUGGCGGGGGUUGGAAAGGUUUACUGGUGCAGGAUGGGCCCGCGGCCUAUCAGCUUGUUGGUGGGGUAAUGGCCUACCAAGGCGACGACGGGUAGCCGGCCUGAGAGGGCGACCGGCCACACUGGGACUGAGACACGGCCCAGACUCCUACGGGAGGCAGCAGUGGGGAAUAUUGCACAAUGGGCGAAAGCCUGAUGCAGCGACGCCGCGUGAGGGAUGACGGCCUUCGGGUUGUAAACCUCUUUCAGCAGGGACGAAGCGAGAGUGACGGUACCUGCAGAAGAAGCACCGGCCAACUACGUGCCAGCAGCCGCGGUAAUACGUAGGGUGCGAGCGUUGUCCGGAAUUACUGGGCGUAAAGAGCUCGUAGGCGGUUUGUCGCGUCGUCCGUGAAAACUUGGGGCUCAACCCCAAGCUUGCGGGCGAUACGGGCAGACUUGAGUACUGCAGGGGAGACUGGAAUUCCUGGUGUAGCGGUGAAAUGCGCAGAUAUCAGGAGGAACACCGGUGGCGAAGGCGGGUCUCUGGGCAGUAACUGACGCUGA
RNAcentral lists this ribosomal RNA (714 nucleotides) under Rhodococcus (subgen. Prescottella) soli. RNAcentral describes it as "Prescottella soli bacterial SSU rRNA". It matches the Rfam family "Bacterial small subunit ribosomal RNA", at positions 18 to 749 of the family's 1533-position model. Lineage: Bacteria; Bacillati; Actinomycetota; Actinomycetes; Mycobacteriales; Nocardiaceae. The record is from RNAcentral.